Molecule: long non-coding RNA, 561 nt
Organism: Photinus pyralis (common eastern firefly)
Lineage: Eukaryota; Metazoa; Arthropoda; Insecta; Coleoptera; Lampyridae
Exons: 2
Source: RefSeq, a predicted model, not a curated record
GUCUAAAUAGAAAAUAAAAAUAUAUAUAUACAAAAUAAAAUAAUAUAAAAGAUUUCCGGAGCAGUCCUCGUAUUUACUUGGGGAGUACUGCCAUCUGCCGGUAGUUAUCUGGCCCCAGCGUGUCAGCUGGUUUGCUGUCAAUGCCGUUUUCGUGUCGGACUGUAGGUUAAUUUCCACGUGCAGUGCUGUCUAGAAUGUAACAAAUUAAUUGAUGCGGGAUUGAGGGCUGCGCCACCCGAACGAGGUAACCAACAGAACCUGCGGGCCCCUUAUGGUUAACGUAGGCGGGAGCACUGUGCCCCAGGUUCAGGCAGGACGGGGCGACGGGAAGAUACUACGGAGGUGUACUUCGUAUAAAACCAGGAGUCACGCUCCGAUUUCGUUUUGAAGACACGGACAGGUAGGAACGUAUGGAGAGUAGCUGGUAAUCUUGCGGAAUACUUGUUGUAGUAACCCGUUCGCUAGGGAGUACACCUAGGAACUGGAAUUACUCGGGGAAUUGGGAACUGGUCAGAGUAAUAAAGGUAACAGCUUGCACGUUUAAUAAAGGGUUGAAAGAUU